AGUAGAGGAAGCUCAUCUCCAAGCAGAAGUUCCUCUGCUUGGUGAAGGUAUAGGUCAUUCAUUCCAUUGUUUCAGGGAAAGUGUGAAAUAAGAGUCUGUGGUUGUCGUCACCUGAUGUCACCUGCCUGAUAUGAAUGAAUUAGUAGCAUUUCUGGGUUAACACAGUGAAUACAGGUGAGCCUGGAUGAGGACAGGUACAAAAGCACUCCUAGAAGUUCAGGUCAGCAGGUUUUUUCUUAGCUCAAUGGGAGAGUUAGACUUUCUUCCCUUUAGGGUUCUCCUGCCCAACUUCAGGCUGCUUCCCCUAUU
Molecule: non-coding RNA, 309 nt
Filed under: Pongo abelii (Sumatran orangutan)
Lineage: Eukaryota; Metazoa; Chordata; Mammalia; Primates; Hominidae
Source: RNAcentral